Molecule: ribosomal RNA, 253 nt
Filed under: uncultured bacterium
Lineage: Bacteria
Description: partial 16S ribosomal RNA
Rfam family: Bacterial small subunit ribosomal RNA
Source: RNAcentral
UACAGGGGGUGCAAACGCUGCUCGGAAUCAUUGGGCGUAAAGCGCACGUAGGCGGUUCGUUAUGUCGGAUGUGAAAGCCCUUGGCUUAACCGAGGAAGUGCAUCCGAAACUGGCGAGCUAGAGUACGAAAGAGGAUCGCGGAAUUCCCGGUGUAGAGGUGAAAUUCGUAGAUAUCGGGAGGAACACCGGUGGCGAAGGCGGCGAUCUGGGUCGAUACUGACGCUGAGGUGCGAAAGCGUGGGGAGCAAACAGG